This 68-nucleotide transfer RNA is filed under the name Pantala flavescens. RNAcentral's name for it is "tRNA-Gln". Lineage: Eukaryota; Metazoa; Arthropoda; Insecta; Odonata; Libellulidae. The record is from RNAcentral.
UAUACUUUGGUGUACGAAGCACAGGAACUUUUGAUGUUUUUGGAGUAGUUUAAUUUUACAAUGUAUAA